Molecule: non-coding RNA, 30 nt
Filed under: Mus musculus (house mouse)
Lineage: Eukaryota; Metazoa; Chordata; Mammalia; Rodentia; Muridae
Source: RNAcentral
UUCAAAGCUCACCCUGUCACAGGUGCUACC